AAACAGACUUUUUUAAAAGUCACUACUCAUUAAAUUUAAGUAGGAU
Molecule: non-coding RNA, 46 nt
Organism: Mesocricetus auratus (golden hamster)
Lineage: Eukaryota; Metazoa; Chordata; Mammalia; Rodentia; Cricetidae
Source: Rfam